GUCAGGGCACGAACGUGCCGCAAGUGCCCGCAGCUUCCCAAGCUGAGAGUGCGAGUUCGAUUCUCGUCACCGACA
This 75-nucleotide transfer RNA is filed under the name Streptomyces sp. RPA4-2. RNAcentral's name for it is "tRNA-Gly". The record is from RNAcentral. Lineage: Bacteria; Bacillati; Actinomycetota; Actinomycetes; Kitasatosporales; Streptomycetaceae.